RNAcentral lists this long non-coding RNA (1327 nucleotides) under Sus scrofa (pig). RNAcentral's name for it is "lncRNA (ENSSSCG00045038480.1)". The record is from RNAcentral. Lineage: Eukaryota; Metazoa; Chordata; Mammalia; Artiodactyla; Suidae.
AUGAAAAUAGGCUUUUGGUUUGUACUUAAAGACGGUGAGUCUCUGGUUGCAGCCCAAAGGCAUCCGAGCUCCAGGGAUACAAAUGGAGGACCAUCCAGAGAGGGGUUAUUAAAAAGGGCUCCAAGGCAGGAGGAGAAGGAUAGAAGAGACACCAGGUCAAGCAGAAUGAAGCCAGAUGAUCAAGUCAUGAAGAAGGACAACAUUCCUGACACCAGCAAGGGGAAGGCCCUUCUUCCUCUAGAGAAAAAGGCCCCUGCUCCAUCCAGCCUUGAAGGCCAUUCUGCUGCUCUCUAGGUGAGUGGUGUUUAUUUUCUUAUCAACAAAACACAAUUCAGGGGCACGGUUGAAAGAGAAAAGCCCCACAGCUGGCUUUCUGUACAAAAGGCAUUGACAUAAAGACCAAAGUAAAUGUUAGCAUCCUGGAAAGAGCAGCAGGUGUUUUAAAUACAAGAAUAGCCUCUGGGGAGAAUUGUGACCACCUGCUAAGCAGCAUCUACUCAGAAUGCAUCUGAAAUGAUCAUUAGAGGGCCACUUUCUGACUUCUAUGUGCAUCUAUCAUGGGUCUUUUGGCUCGGUCUUUCUUUGCAGGGGAUUUCUGGGUAAUUUCUGAUGUUUUUGUAACCAGAUUCUUGCUCACCAUUGUGUGCUGAGCAUUUAAUACCUAAUAGGAUGCUUGGCACACCGUAGGUGAAUACGAUUUUGGAGUGAAAUAAAUGAACAAAGUGUGCUAUUGAUUGUAAAACUGGAAUCAUAACAUCUGCUGUUUCCCACAACACGGAGUUCAAGGUUUUCGUCUGGUAAUUGAGGAAAAACUUGGGCUCAAAGCAGAGGCCUUGGCCCCAGUGACAGAGCUAGUCUAUUACUCAGCAGGCUGCCCAGAAUGUUUGCAGGUGUUGGGCUGCAGCCCAUAGGCCUGCAAGCUUUGCAACUGACCAGCCUCGAGACCGUGACAGAGACAAUCCAUGGCUUAUUGAACAGGGGAACUUACACAAAGGGUCCUGGAGUGAUACCCACUGUAUACAGCAAACGGCAGGCAGGACAUGGCAGCUAUAUUCCCUACUCCAGGGAGAAGAAAGCUGCCAUUUAUAGGGGGAACAGACAUCAGGUGGGUUCAUUAGUUACCAGGGGCUAAUGAAGCCCUAUAAUUAGGAGGAUUGGGUGGUCAUGAGAGUGGAGCAGCGGCUGUCCAGAGAGCAAGAUAUCAGCCAUCUUGAAGGGCCUGACCAUUCACCAGGUCUGUUAACUGAAGGCACCAUGUACUUACUGAUCCUAGAAGCAAAAGGAUCAUUGUGUCCAGGCAUGGAAAGUUUCCAAAGUUAGUGUUUGC